AUACAGUGUUCCUUAUCCCCGGCUAAAUUAGAAGGGCAAAGGCUUAAAAAUAUUUUCAGGUAGUAUUACUUUAUUGAGAGGGUAGUGGAUGCAUGAAAUAGCCUUCCAGCUGAAGUGGUAGAGGUUAACACAGUGAGGGAGUUUAAGCAUGCGUGGAUAGGCAUAAGGCUAUCCUAACUAUAAGAUAAUUCCAGGGACUAAUGAAAAGGGAUGUGCAUGGGCAAAAAAUUUGGUUCAGUUCGACACUUCCGAAAUUCGGGACUUUGGCAAUUCGGGACUUCGGCACUUCCAAAAUUUGUGAAUUUGGCAAUUCGGUUUGGUUUGGCACUUCCGACAUUUGGGACUUCGACAAUUCAGCACUUCGGUUCAACACUUCCGAAAUUCGGGAAUUUGACAAUUCGGACAUUCAUAAGCAUCCCUCUCUUGCCUCCACAACCACUUACACACCUGUAG
This is a non-coding RNA of Pelobates cultripes (western spadefoot toad), 453 nucleotides long. Lineage: Eukaryota; Metazoa; Chordata; Amphibia; Anura; Pelobatidae. The record is from the annotation of a GenBank genome assembly.